UAAUACGUAGGGUGCGAGCGUUAAUCGGAAUUACUGGGCGUAAAGGGUGCGCAGGCGGUUUUGUAAGUCAGAUGUGAAAUCCCCGGGCUUAACCUGGGAAUUGCGUUUGAAACUACAAGACUAGAGUGUGGCAGAGGGAGGUGGAAUUCCAUGUGUAGCAGUGAAAUGCGUAGAGAUAUGGAAGAACAUCGAUGGCGAAGGCAGCCUCCUGGGUUAACACUGACGCUCAUGCACGAAAGCGUGGGGAGCAAACAGGAUUAGAUACCCUGGUAGUCCACGCCCUAAACGAUGUCAACUAGUUGUCGGGCCUUACUAGGCUUGGUAACGAAGCUAACGCGUGAAGUUGACCGCCUGGGGAGUACGGUCGCAAGAUUAAAACUCAAAGGAAUUGACGG
RNAcentral lists this ribosomal RNA (395 nucleotides) under uncultured Nitrosomonadales bacterium. RNAcentral's name for it is "bacterial SSU rRNA". It matches the Rfam family "Bacterial small subunit ribosomal RNA", at positions 521 to 916 of the family's 1533-position model. Lineage: Bacteria; Pseudomonadati; Pseudomonadota; Betaproteobacteria; Nitrosomonadales. The record is from RNAcentral.